UAGGGAAUCUUCGGCAAUGGGGGCAACCCUGACCGAGCAACGCCGCGUGAGUGAAGAAGGUUUUCGGAUCGUAAAGCUCUGUUGUAAGUCAAGAACGAGUGUGAGAGUGGAAAGUUCACACUGUGACGGUAGCUUACCAGAAAGGGACGGCUAACUACGUGCCAGCAGCCGCGGUAAUACGUAGGUCCCGAGCGUUGUCCGGAUUUAUUGGGCGUAAAGCGAGCGCAGGCGGUUUGAUAAGUCUGAAGUUAAAGGCUGUGGCUCAACCAUAGUUCGCUUUGGAAACUGUCAAACUUGAGUGCAGAAGGGGAGAGUGGAAUUCCAUGUGUAGCGGUGAAAUGCGUAGAUAUAUGGAGGAACACCGGUGGCGAAAGCGGCUCUCUGGCUUGUAACUGACGCUGAGGCUCGAAAGCGUGGGGAGCAAACAGGAUUAGAUACCCUGGUAGUCCACGCUGUAAACGAUGAGUGCUAGGUGUUAGACCCUUUCCGGGGUUUAGUGCCGUAGCUAACGCAUUAAGCACUCCGCCUGGGGAGUACGACCGCAAGGUUG
RNAcentral lists this ribosomal RNA (550 nucleotides) under uncultured bacterium. RNAcentral's name for it is "bacterial SSU rRNA". It matches the Rfam family "Bacterial small subunit ribosomal RNA", at positions 355 to 896 of the family's 1533-position model. The record is from RNAcentral.